This 81-nucleotide ribosomal RNA is filed under the name Micrococcus luteus. Lineage: Bacteria; Bacillati; Actinomycetota; Actinomycetes; Micrococcales; Micrococcaceae. The record is from RNAcentral.
UACGGCGGUCAUAGCGUGGGGGAAACGCCCGGUUCCAUUCCGAACCCGGAAGCUAAGGCCCACAGCGCCGAUGGUACUGCA